UAGGGAAUCUUCGGCAAUUGACGAAAGUCUGACCGAGCAACGCCGCGCGAGUGAAGAAGGUUUUCGGAUCGUAAAACUCUGUUGUUAGAGAAGAACAAGGACGUUAGUAACUGAACGUCCCCUGACGGUAUCUAACCAGAAAGCCACGGCUAACUACGUGCCAGCAGCCGCGGUAAUACGUAGGUGGCAAGCGUUGUCCGGAUUUAUUGGGCGUAAAGCGAGCGCAGGCGGUUUCUUAAGUCUGAUGUGAAAGCCCCCGGCUCAACCGGGGAGGGUCAUUGGAAACUGGGAGACUUGAGUGCAGAAGAGGAGAGUGGAAUUCCAUGUGUAGCGGUGAAAUGCGUAGAUAUAUGGAGGAACACCAGUGGCGAAGGCGGCUCUCUGGUCUGUAACUGACGCUGAGGCUCGAAAGCGUGGGGAGCAAACAGG
This 429-nucleotide ribosomal RNA is filed under the name Gemmatimonadota bacterium. Its description in RNAcentral is "Gemmatimonadetes bacterium partial 16S ribosomal RNA". It matches the Rfam family "Bacterial small subunit ribosomal RNA", at positions 355 to 776 of the family's 1533-position model. The record is from RNAcentral. Lineage: Bacteria; Pseudomonadati; Gemmatimonadota.